AAAAGAAACUAACCAGGAUUCCCCUAGUAGCGGCGAGCGAAGCGGGAAAAGCCCAAAAUGAAAAGCCAGUUUUUCUGGCGUUGUAGUUGAGCGUCCUUGAGGUGUCAGUCUGGGAAAGUCGCAUGGAAAUGCGUGCCGUGGAGGGUGAGAGCCCCGUCCAUCCCAUUCAGGACACUUCGUACAAGGGCGUUUCAGAUGAGUCGGGUAGCUUGGGAAUGCUGCUCUAAUUGGUGGUAAAUCUCAUCAAAGGCUAAAUAAUGGUGGGAGACCGAUAGCGAACAAGUACCGUGAGGGAAAGAUGACAAGCACUUUGAAAAGAGGGUGAAAAGAGCCUGAAACCGUUACGAGGGAAGCGGAUUGCAUUGGAUUGGAACGGGUGUCUUUGUGUUCAGCCCGUUUUUGGGUGUAUUCACUUUGAUGCUCAACUGUUGUGGGUUCUCGGGAGGCGAUUUUGGUCACCUGGGGGCUGAGGGCUCCCCUUUAUGGGUUGAGGACGACAGUGUGACGAUGCGAUACGACCCGUCUUGAAACACGGACCAAGGAGUCUAGCGCGGUUGCGAGUCGGAGGGUAUUAAAACCCGUGGGCGAAGUGAAAGCGAGUGUAAAAAACAAGCAGUUUGAGGCGGCAUAAAAUCGUUGAUUUUAGGUCUGACCUUGAGCAGUUGCGCUGGGACCCGAAAGAUGGUGAACUAUGCCGGAGUAGGGUGAAGCCAGGGGAAACCCUGGUGGAGGCUCGUAGCGGUGCUGACGUGCAAAUCGCUCGUCGAACUUGGGUAUAGGGGCGAAAGACUAAUCGAACCAUCUAGUAGCUGGUUCCCUCCGAAGUUUCUCUCAGGAUAGCUAGGUGACAAUACGUUGUUUUGUGCGGUAAAGCGAAUGAUUAGCGCACUCGGGGGCGUCAAGCCUCCGGGCGAUUCUCAAACUUUAAAUGCGCAAGGGUACUGGUGCUUUGUUGAGCGGUACCGGCAAAAACGUCACCUGUGUGGGCCACUUUUGGUAAGCAGAACUGGCGAUACGGGAUGAACCGUAAGCAUGGUUAAGGUGCCAAACUGUCCGCUUAUAGAUCCCAAAAAAGGUGUUGGUUCAUCGAGACAGCAGGACGGUGGCCAUGGAAGUCGGAAUCCGCCAAGGAGUGUGUAACAACUCACCUGCCGAAUGAACUAGCCCUGAAAAUGGAUGGCGCUGAAGCGGGCGACCGACACCAUGCCGUCUGGGCAAAUAUAUUGAUUUCGGAUGAGUAGGAGGGCGUGGCGGCCGUGUCGAAGGGCGCAUGCAGAUGCGUCUGGAACGGCCGCUAGUGCAGAUCUUGGUGGUAGUAGCAAAUAUUCAAGCGAGAUCCUUGAAGGGCGAAGCGGGGAAGGGUUCCACGCGAACAUUGAUUGGGCGUGGGUGAGUCGUUCCUAAGCCGAGUGGCGAUUGCUAAGUAGCGGCGAAAGGGAAGUGGGUUGACAUUCCCACACACGGAUGUGGAGGCGGUGACGCUUGUUUGGGGCGAACACGCCGGCGAUGGCGCUGGGCAGAGUUGUCUUUUCUGUUUGACCGCUUAUAGGCGCAGUGUGGAAUCCGCUUGUCGGGAGAAACACGCGUUUACGGGCAGAGCGCCGGGGUUAUUCCGGCGUCCAGCUCGCCAUCGACGGCCCUUGAAACUUUGCCUGCUGAAAACCUUUACUGGUUAGAAAUCCACGCCGUGGCGUACCGAUCACCGCAUCAGGUCCCCGAGGUGAACAGCCUCUGCUCAGUAUGAAAAAUGCAGGUAAGGGAAGUCGGCAAAUUGGACCCGUAACUUUGGGAAAAGGGUUGGCUCUAGUGCUGCGUGGGAGUGGUUGCUGGGUGUUGGCGUAGUCUGGACGGGCUGCGGUGGUGCGGCGUUUUCCCUUCGGGUGAGAAUGCUGUCCACUUCGGUCUGUCUGGCUGCGGCGCGGCCGGCGACGCCCACAGCAUGCAGCAAACUAGAACUGCAACGGGCAAAGGGAAUCCGACUGUUUAAUUAAAACAAAGCAUUGCGAAGGCCGUGGCCGGUGAUGACGCAAUGUGAUUUCUGCUCAGUGCUCUGAAUGUCAAAGUGAAGAGAUUCAAUCAAGCGCGGGUAAACAGCGGGAGUAACUAUGACUCUCUUAAGGUAGCCAAAUGCCUCGUCAUCUAAUUAGUGACGCGCAUGAAUGGAUUAACGAGAUUCCUACUGUCCCUAUCUGCUUCUAGCGAAACCACAGCCGAGGGAACGGGCUCGGCAAAAUCGGCGGGGAAAGAAGACCCUGUUGAGCUUGACUCUAUUCUAAUUUUGUGAAGCAAGUUGGGAGGUGUAGCAUAGGUGGGAGUGCUUGCACGUCCGUGAAAUACCACUACUCCCAGUCUUGCUUUACUUACGGGGUGGGUGUGGAUGGGACUUACGUCCCUAUUUUGGAACCAAGCCCGAUUUGUUUUGGGUGACCACAGCCCCGCACACAUUUAGGAGGGGAGUUUGGCUGGGGCGGUACAUCUUCUACAAGACAACGAAGGUGUCCAAAGAUAAGCUCAGUGAGAACAGAAAUCUCACGUAGCGCAAAAGGGUAAAAGCUUGUUUGAUUUUGAUUUUCAGUGCGAGUCGAAAACGCGAAAGCGUGGCCUAUCGAUCCUUUCACGAUUCGAGAUUUGAAGCGAGAGGUGUCAGAAAAGUUACCACAGGGAUAACUGGCUUGUGGCGGCCAAGCGUUCAUAGCGACGUCGCUUUUUGAUCCU
Molecule: ribosomal RNA, 2715 nt
Filed under: Schizymenia dubyi
Lineage: Eukaryota; Rhodophyta; Florideophyceae; Nemastomatales; Schizymeniaceae
Also listed under: 1 other name
Description: LSU rRNA
Rfam family: Eukaryotic large subunit ribosomal RNA
Source: RNAcentral